Molecule: ribosomal RNA, 468 nt
Filed under: uncultured bacterium
Lineage: Bacteria
Description: partial 16S ribosomal RNA
Rfam family: Bacterial small subunit ribosomal RNA
Source: RNAcentral
GACGAACGCUGGCGGCGUGCUUAACACAUGCAAGUCGAACGGAAAGGCCCUGCUCUUGUGGGGUGCUCGAGUGGCGAACGGGUGAGUAACACGUGUGUAACCUGCCCUUGACUUUGGGAUAACUUCAGGAAACUGGGGCUAAUACCGGAUAGGAGCUCCUGCUGCAUGGUGGGGGUGGGAAAGUUUCGGCGGUUGGGGAUGGACUCGCGGCUUAUCAGCUUGUUGGUGGGGUAGUGGCUUACCAAGGCUUUGACGGGUAGCCGGCCUGAGAGGGUGACGGGCCACAUUGGGACUGAGAUACGGCCCAGACUCCUACGGGAGGCAGCGGUGGGAAAUAUUGAACAAUGGGCGGAAGCCUGAUGCAGCAAGGCGGCGUGCGGGAUAACGGCCUUCGGUUGGUAAACCGCUUUCGCCUGUGACGAGGCGUGAGUGACGGUAAUGGGUAAAGAAGCGCCGGCUAACUACGUG